This 419-nucleotide ribosomal RNA is filed under the name Artemia sinica. Its description in RNAcentral is "partial small subunit ribosomal RNA". Lineage: Eukaryota; Metazoa; Arthropoda; Branchiopoda; Anostraca; Artemiidae. The record is from RNAcentral.
AGCAACAAGGGUGAAAUCUGUACUUAAGUUAAAUUUCUUGUUUAAAGCAUCUUUUAGGUAGUUAAACGACUAGGAUUAGAUACCCUAUUAGUCUAUCCUUAAUUAACCUGGGUAGUAAUAUUAAAACCUAAAGAAUUUGGCGGUUUCUAAACUUACUAGAGGAACCUGUCCCGUAAACGACAAUCCACGAAAAAAUCAACCCAAACUUGUUAUUCAGCUUAUAUACCGUCGUUUAGGGGAUUAAACAAAUAGAUCUCCUUAAGAGCUUAGGCUAAUAAAUCAGAUCAAGGUGUAGCUUAUGUUUGGGUGAGGAUGGGUUACAAUGAAAAUUCAUACGGAACCUUUAUAUUACUGCAAAGGAGAAGGUGGAUUUAGAAGUAAGACCUAACACACUGAAGAAAGCCCUGAGAAAUGUACAC